Molecule: small nuclear RNA, 102 nt
Filed under: Podarcis lilfordi (Lilford's wall lizard)
Lineage: Eukaryota; Metazoa; Chordata; Lepidosauria; Squamata; Lacertidae
Source: RNAcentral
GUGCUCGCUUCGGCAGCACAUAUACUAAAAUUGGAACGAUACAGAGAAGAUUAGCAUGGCCCCUGUGCAAGGAUGACAUGCAAAUUCGUUUAUUUAAUAAAU